UAAGCUCUUCCGCUUUUCUGGGUCUCCCUUCAUAUCCAGAUGCAGAGGAAGUGUUGCAGUUACCAGGAAGGAAGUUUUAACCAAGUUGAUUAUACGUGUGAUUGCUCAUUUUAAAAGUGUCAGAAAUGCAUUUCCUGUUAUAGCACAGAGGGAAGCACGAGAGUGAACGAUGUUUACCGGUUUCCUAUACUAGAGUUCAUCCCCAAUCUGGGUUCUCCUGGACUCUAGCUAAGCCCCAGGAACAUCAGGGAGGAUGGUGCUGGCCUCAUAGCUUUCUUGGAGGACCAUGUUUUUCUUAUCAGUAGACCUACAUGACC
Long non-coding RNA from Lontra canadensis (Northern American river otter), 317 nucleotides. RefSeq lists it as uncharacterized. Lineage: Eukaryota; Metazoa; Chordata; Mammalia; Carnivora; Mustelidae. The transcript has 3 exons. The record is from RefSeq and is a predicted model, not a curated record.